This 327-nucleotide ribosomal RNA is filed under the name uncultured Chloroflexota bacterium. Its description in RNAcentral is "bacterial SSU rRNA". It matches the Rfam family "Bacterial small subunit ribosomal RNA", at positions 28 to 351 of the family's 1533-position model. Lineage: Bacteria; Bacillati; Chloroflexota. The record is from RNAcentral.
GAUGAACGCUGGCGGCGUGCCUAAUACAUGCAAGUCGAACGGAGAUUGUAGCAAUACAUUCUUAGUGGCGAACGGGUGAGUAACGCGUUGGUGACCUGCCCCGAAGUGUGGGAUAACAGCUCGAAAGGGUUGCUAAUACCGCAUGUGGUUUUUCGGAUUAGAUGCCGAAUUUCUAAAGGAGAAAUUCGCUUCGGGAGGGGCCUGCGUCCCAUCAGCUAGUUGGUAGGGUAACGGCCUACCAAGGCAGUGACGGGUAGGGGACCUGAGAGGGUGGCCCCCCACAAUAGGCGACUGAACAACGGCCGACUACACCUACCGGGAGGGCUG